Homarus americanus (American lobster) is the source of this 2975-nucleotide RNA transcript. RefSeq lists it as uncharacterized. The transcript is spliced from 8 exons. The record is from RefSeq and is a predicted model, not a curated record. NCBI's taxonomy places the organism in Eukaryota, Metazoa, Arthropoda, Malacostraca, Decapoda, Nephropidae.
AGGCAAGUAAGGCAGCCGACGAGUCAGUGUGGCCCCAGUCGUGAUAGAGAAAGGGUGUGUGCCGAGUCUCCUCCCAGUUAUCUCUUUGACCCAAGCAAACUUUAUCUUUACGAACCUCGGGGAUCCGUACUGAAUAACUUAUCAUAAACUGCAGUCAUGGUUAAUCCAUUGUGAGGAAAGUUGUGUUAUUUUUUUAUGCUUCUGCAAGUAGUAGAGGUUUUGUGUUACAGUUUUGUGAAGGAUUUAUUUAGCGAAUGAUUUCAAGUGGAUUGAGUCGUUGUGCAGCGUUGAAGUCUCUCUAUUAAACCAGUUCCCGGGGCCCCAUCUUUUUAUUCAAGGAGCCGUGAUCUUGGUGAGGUGACCAUGAUGAACUGCGGCUUCCCUUCACUACUACUGCUGCUGGUGACCUUCUCGACGGUGUCACUGGCGCAGUACCAGGAGGACUUCGGGCUUGAGCGAACUAGUAACCCGGUGUCCAUCAGUCAGCUGGAGGUGAUGUGUGGCAAGGACCACCUCACCGUGCAGCUCGCCUUCACCGCUCCCUUCCAGGGUCUGGUGUUCUCCAAGGGACAAUACGGGGACCCGAACUGCAUGUACGUGGAGCCUCACUCCGGAGGCACCCACUACGAGUUCCAGAUCUACUACGACGGCUGCGGCACCAAACCAGACAUGGGCGGCAAGUUCUACGAGAACACCAUCAUUGUGCAGUACGACGCCGACCUCAUCGAAGUGUGGGACGAGGCCAAGCGACUGAGGUGUGAGUGGUACAAUGACUACGAGAAGACUGCCAGUAAACCUCCCAUGAAGAUCGCUGACUUAGAGGUUAUUGAACUGAACUUCCGAGGGGACAACGUGGACUGCUGGAUGGAGAUACAAGAUGGCAAGGGGCCCUGGGCGUCACCCAUCACUGGCAUCGUCCCCUUGGGCUCUACCCUCACCAUGGUCAUAGCUAUCAACGACCAGGCCGGGGAGUUCGACAUGCGGGUGACGUCAUGCGAGGCUUCAGACGGCAGCAACUCGCCCAUCUACCUCAGUGAUCAACACGGGUGUGUCCUCCGCCCCAAGAUGAUCUCUAAAUUUAUGAAGCUCCGCAACAACGACGGCCGCGCCACCGUCCUCACUUACGCUCACUUCCACGCCUUCAAGUUCCCUGACUCCAUGGCUGUCCAUCUUCGCUGUAAAGUCGAAAUUUGCCGCUUCGGUUGCCCGGAUCACUGCCAGAAGCCCACUGCUGGUAACCCCAUCGGUGACUACAACCAGCAGACUCUGCUACAGCAGCAACCCAGCGACUCGUAUGGCUCCCCAGCAGAGCUCGUGCCUCGGUACGAGUCUCCUCCCAACAACGUUGGCGACUCUGGUUUCGGCGAGAAGAGUGUUAGUGAAGGUCGUCGACCUCGCCCUCUCCCGAACACCAACCUCGACUCAAUGGUGAUGAAGGAUACGGUUCCCAAAGGGCCUCUCAUCAUUCCCAAUGAACAGUUAGCUAAGAUCUACCUCGACGGCUCACCACUCCAGGGCAAGGAAACCAUCGAACUCCCUAACUUCAAGGAGGACUUCCCCUGGGGCCCGAGGAACCUCCGCCGUCGACGCCGUGAAGUGAUCUUGGAGCGUCACACUCGUGCCUCCAACAUCGGCGUUUCCACAGACUACCAGGUCAUCUCUGAGGCUGACUUGGAGUUCACCCCCGCCAUGGAAGACCGAGUCACUGUGUUUAAGGGCCACCGGGAGGAGGUAGUGUACGGGGUGUGUCUGCCCGCGCCUGGGUUCUCGGCACUGUUUGUGUUGCUGGCCAUGUGUACUGUCAUCUCUGUGCUAGUGGCCGGCUUCAUGUGCCACCACCGACAGCUGCAGAAGGACACGGCUGAGUCCCCUGCCGCCCCACACCCGCACCAACAGGCCUUCAGUAUGGUACAGUUCCUGCGGGGUCAUCUCCCAGGUUAUGCUCAAUGAUAUGCUGGGACACAACUCAAGGACAAUACAGCUCAUAUCUUGACUAUCUCACAGCUCCAGGCAUUCAGAGAGUCGCCAUGACGACACAGCCAGGUCGCCAUUUACUGUUUUAGGAUUCAGACACCUUGUGUACUUAGAGGCAUUAGUUAACUGCAGCAGAACGACCCACACAAAAGCUACACCACAAGGCUCCUGUUACAUGAUAGAUGUCACCUUUAGAAAACGACGCACGGAAUCACUAAAACAUACUAGAAGUUGGAGUAACAAAUUGUCAAAGAUAAUUUCGUAUUUCCACACCCAGAUGUUGUUUAGCUCUGAGCCAGACCUUUGAAUUCUUGUUCUUGGUCCUUCACACCUUCGGGAGGAGGGCGCCUCAAGCACCUGCCGCUCCUCCCUGCGUCAGUGCAAGUAUUGUAUAUAGUCUGUUUUCUACUCCUCUGCUGAGACUAGAUGGGUCUUCCUCUUCUCUCUCGGUCUCUUAUAGACAUUCAGGUUUCACAAAAACAAAGAGUUUUUUUUUGCCAAAUUACCAAAGGCUGUUAUUGUUUAUGAAAUUAACACUGAUGACCCAUUUAGUCGUCAGACAAGUUGAUCUGAGGCGGCGGAGGAUGUCGCUGCUACUCCGAUCACCUACUGUAUUAUAAGGAUGUCAUGGUAGCUCUUCAGUCGUUGUAGAGUGCCCACAGUGACGCCAUGGGUUAUCUACGGUGACGUCAUAGUUGCCUGCGAUGACGUCAUGGGUUCCCCGCGGCGAAUUUAUGGUUAUCCCCGGUGACAUCAUGGUUUAUCCGCAGUGACGUCAACGGUUACCUGCGGUGAUAUCACAAGUUGCCGAGGUGUGGGGUGCUAGGGAACCAGGAAGGUCUUUGGGAACACACAGACACACAGACACUAUUUACAGUAAAUUGAUGAGGCUAAUUUGAGUGUUCCUUAAGUGUUCCCAAGUUGGUUAACACUUUUUCGAGACUUGUAAAACACUUGCCUGAACAAGGUCUCUCUCUCUCUCUCUCUCUCUCUCUCUCUCU